Aquila chrysaetos chrysaetos is the source of this 1947-nucleotide long non-coding RNA. RefSeq lists it as uncharacterized. The transcript has 6 exons. Lineage: Eukaryota; Metazoa; Chordata; Aves; Accipitriformes; Accipitridae. The record is from RefSeq and is a predicted model, not a curated record.
UGCAGAGGUGGGCACAUGUGUAGCUUAUUAACUAAUAAGUGAUGACCACAGAGAAGAAACAGGUUUUGCACCAAGCCUCCCUGGUGUUCAGUGAAAUCAGCUUUUCAGGUUUGAGUAGGGAAGAGGACUAUUGUUAAGGUCUUUUUUUCCCCUGCUUUUUUGAGCUGCGGAUGAAGAAAGCCUGUGUGAGCCAGUCCUGGAGCCUAAAACUAUUAUGCCCAUUGCACCUCAUCCUCCCACUGGGCACCACUGAGUAGAGUCUGGCUCCAUCCAUGUUUACACCCUCCCAUCAGUGACUAAGCAUGUAAUUUGAAUCAACUGUGGGAGAAGAGAGGAUUGAAGUUCAAGGAGUAUCUUGAAGAGAUCUAGUUGAUGAGAAUGAAACUGACGCUGAAUACUUGAUGUCCAGAGAUAGCUGUUCUUCAAGACACAGUUGAUUUCAACAAGGAUGGUACUAGCUGACGCCUUCAAUCACCCCUUGAAAGGACAGACAGGGUAAGCUCCUAACUGAAAGAGAACUCCGCAGUUCUUCCUGAAUGUCAGAAAGAAGAUUGGUGUGUGGAAGAUCACGUCCUUAAUGCAUUAGACAAAACUACAACACAGCAAAAUCUAGGUCUGGAUUAUGUGCAAAUCAGUUUCCCAAUAAAAAGGUAAAAAAGGAAAGCUUAUCAAGCCCAGAUAAAGCAUGGAGCGUAUAGUAAGGCAAACAACUAAGGCAAGAUCCUGACUAAAGUGACAGAGAAAGCACACAGAGUGGUUGCAGUAGUAGAUUUGCAAUCCAGCUGGGAACUUGGGUUUUUGUCAAGUAUCAGAAAGCAGAGUCAGAGGAAAAAAUGUUAAAAAAUGAUACCUAAAAGUCUUUAGGAAACACCGAGCAUGAAAUGUAAUGGCUGCUUUGAAUAAGUAGUUAAGAUUCCUGAACAUGGAAACAAAGAACAACCACUCAACACUCCCCCCCCCGCCCCCAAAAUCUCAGAGAACAGGAGAAAUCAUCUCCAUAAGAGCAUAGACUUGGAGGAGGAACACAACUGGACAGUUUUGCUGUCUCCAAGCAAAACUGUUUUAGGCAAAUAAGAAUCUGGGAGGAGAGUAGAGUCAGUUGUCUGACUAUACCAGUCAAGUCCAUUUUCUAUACAUCUGUAGUUGAUACCAGAUCAGAAUUCAAGCAGCAUGACUUAAUAAAGUAUAGCUUUAGGAAUAUCACUACUAUUCUUAAUCUACAUUUAUCAUACAGUUCUCCACUAAUGCAUUUAAGCAUGUACUCUAAGAAGAAAUAGUGAAGAAUUAAUCCUAUGGCUUUAUAAGCCUACCAUCCCAAGUGAUUAUUAGUAAAAGUAAAUUGGGCAUAAUUUUUUUGGUUUUUUUAGGAAAAAAAAAAUUAAGUAUUUGGGUUGGUCAUUAUUUCCUUUCCCCUUUUAGCAUGCUUUCACAUGUUAUGAUACAAGGCAUAAGCAGAAUGCUUAAUUUGUACUCAUCUAUCUGAUCUAUCUAUCCUUUUUCUUACAACUGUAUCUAUCUUACACUAGGAUGUAUACAGUGAUACAUAAGAAAAAAAAUCUUUCCUUUGAACUUGUGACCCUUCUUAAGACCCUCAAUUAAUGCUGAACAGAAUAAUCUCUCUUAAAAUUUAGUCAUUAUUUUGCAUUAUUAUUUAGUCAUUAUUACUUAUUUUACUUAAAGCACACUGCUUGUUUUACUUUAAAAAAAAAAAAUACCUGAGGAAGAUACAUCUAUGUACAGCAACACCUCUCAAACAAGAUUUGUCCAUAUUGUAUUGUGACCACUGCAUAUGCCUUCAUGGUUGUAUUAUGUGACUAAAGGGGACUGGAAUAAGGUCACUGCCUUACUGGUUGAGUACUGUGUUGUUGUGGUUUAAUCCCAGCCAGCAGCUAAGCACCACACUGCUACUCACUCACUUCCCCCCCACCCAGUGGGAUGGGGGAGAGA